AACAGUUUUUCACUGGAAGUAUACUGGUACUGAAUGAGCAUACCAUGAAUAGAUCAAGCUCUUUCUCAUCGCCGACCAAGCCUUGGGCCCCACCAUCCAGAGCCGAGUAUUUAGCCACCACUUGCUGUGACGUAGCCAGCUGAGCGUCGAUCCUCGGAAGC
Molecule: long non-coding RNA, 161 nt
Organism: Hibiscus syriacus
Lineage: Eukaryota; Viridiplantae; Streptophyta; Magnoliopsida; Malvales; Malvaceae
Exons: 3
Source: RefSeq, a predicted model, not a curated record